This 88-nucleotide small nucleolar RNA is filed under the name Piloderma croceum F 1598. The record is from RNAcentral. Lineage: Eukaryota; Fungi; Basidiomycota; Agaricomycetes; Atheliales; Atheliaceae.
GCCUUGUGAUGAUCAACUAUUCAGUUCUGCUUCCGAAAGAGAGCAAUCUCUUGUGGACAACUCUUUUACCAAAAAAAAUAUCUGAUCC